AUUUAAGUUUGUAUAUAUUUAAUAAAUAAAACAAAUAUCACAGUCAAUAUCACAUUAUUUAUACAAUAAUAAAAUGCUGAUUUUCAUCAAACUACAAUGAAACAUAGCUAUAUUUACAAUACCAUUAUCAAGAAAUAUGCUGUAAUAAGCAUUUAUUUUGUACUGGAUGUGAAUCCAAUACUUAAAUGCUUUUAGGUUAUCACAUACAAAUACCUAUGCAUUUUCAAUAUCUGAAUUUUGAAAAAGAUAUUGAAGAUUAGAUCGAAAAGGAAAACUAAAAUAAAUUACAUCUGUAUGCUUUCAGGCUUUAAUUCUGUUAAUGACUAUGUCGACUAAGUCACAAUUAUUUCUACAAAAUCUGUUCAAACUCCAUUCCUUUCUAAAUUUUCUUUUUAUUUCCGAAAGAGUAAAAAGUGAAUCACAUUCUUCAGUAAGAAUGAAGCUAUUUGACACCAACAUAUAUGGAGACCACCAUUCAGGAUAUCUUCAUCCACCAUGCUAUUCUUUCUUUCAAUUCCAAAAACAGUCAAAUAAAUUGAGAAUUCUUUUUUGGUUUUUUUUCCAUUUAAAAUUGAUAACAUAUCUAAUAUUCCUUAAAUAUUAAAAAGUUCUUCUUAAAAAAUAAUAUUCCUUUAAGCCACAAAAUUUAUUCUAAUAUUUCUAGACAUGGUACAUAUAAUGAUAUAUAAAAUCCAGAUUUUUGUUCUUCUUACAACAUGUUUAAGUACUAGAAUGCAUACUGACCUAUAUACUAUAGCAACAAAUCAAUACAGAUAAUUGAAAAAUGUAAAAUUUAUACAUAACAACUUUUAACUCCACAUUCCAUGAAGGGUUUUAAAACUUAAAUUGAGAUAAGUAAACAUUUAUAUUUACAUGUAACCAGGAAUAAUAUCAGUAAUGAUAAUAUAUGAGCCAUUAUCAACUAAUUCUCACAUUCAAAAAUAAACAAUGUCUUAGAAGCUAAAUAUUAGCCUAAACUUUCAGCCUCCAUGUAAAUAUCAAAAUCUAGACAAAUAAAUUGCACAUUAGAUAAUUAGUUUCUCAGCAGUUAAUAAUUUGACACAUUUAUUUGAAAUCUCAUAGAAACAGUUUGGCAUAAUCAUAUCAUAAAAAUAUAAUGUUGAAUCACAGCAGAAUCAGAAGUAAAAAUCACAGCAAUAUUUGGCAAACUUUAGUUAUUAAAAAAAACCAAUCACCAUGAAGGGAUAUAAAAAAAGGAUAUUUAACAUAGUGAUUUAUAAAUCUCAAUAAUAUAAUAUUUAUUGAACAAAAUUAUAUCCAAAUAUUUCCCCCAAAAAAGUACAUUGCUAUACAAAAACAUGAAAAAAUGAAUUAAAAUCUGCAAAACUAAUUGGCCUUUUAAGUACAACAGCCAUUUUCAAAUAAUCAAUGAAUAUUUGAUACAGAGAUGAAUAAAUAUGUUGUUAACUGUUAAGAUGAAGUAUUUGAAGAUGAACUG
Molecule: long non-coding RNA, 1459 nt
Filed under: Mytilus galloprovincialis (Mediterranean mussel)
Lineage: Eukaryota; Metazoa; Mollusca; Bivalvia; Mytilida; Mytilidae
Source: RNAcentral